UUGGUUUGUUUCCGGUGGUUGGCUCUCUGCUCGCGCAACAACUUCCACCUGGCAUACCUUUUCAUUUACGCAUCAAGGUAGUAUCACCUUGAGCGCAUUGUGGGUUUCCUGUGUUGCCUACCUAAACUCAUGGUAUGUUUGGACCCAUCCAAGUCCCUUUUCGUCUUGCGUUGCGCUAGCGAUGCGGGGUGAACCUUGAAGCGGUCUUUGUGUUCCACCUUGUUGGCGUUGAUGCGUCGAUGUUGUGGCCCACUAAGCAUUGCUUGGUCUUCUGGAUACAGAACAUGAAGCGGGCAUGGGGUCUUGCAUGACCCUUGUUCUGCCCUUGUUGAGUGUUAUUGUUUCUCUAAGAUGACAGCCCAGCCGAAUUGGCUCGUACCACCGGGUGGGAUGUGUUGUCGAAGAGUGACGUUAGCGUUCUUGCUUCUCCUAAACGACUGCCUUGCCCACAUUGGCUCGUACCAGUGGGGGGGCUACGUCGAAGAGGGUUGCUACCUGGUUGAUCCUGCCAGUAGUCAUAUGCUUGUCUCAA
Molecule: unclassified non-coding RNA, 532 nt
Filed under: Stenachaenium adenanthum
Lineage: Eukaryota; Viridiplantae; Streptophyta; Magnoliopsida; Asterales; Asteraceae
Description: contains 3 external transcribed spacer, ETS
Source: RNAcentral